GUACAAGCAAGGCCAGGAACCAGAAGUCUGCGCUGCUUUCCUGGAUGUGACCGGAACAAGGAGCUGGAACCAUGCAGCACAGGGGAACCAGUUCCAGAGCUCCUCUGCUCUUUCCAUCCAGCUUUGCUACUGCAUAACCCAAGAGUGAACUACAC
Molecule: long non-coding RNA, 155 nt
Organism: Grammomys surdaster
Lineage: Eukaryota; Metazoa; Chordata; Mammalia; Rodentia; Muridae
Exons: 3
Source: RefSeq, a predicted model, not a curated record